UGGGGAAUUUUGGACAAUGGGGGCAACCCUGAUCCAGCGACGCCGCGUGUGUGAAGAAGGCCUGCGGGUUGUAAAGCACUUUCGUUGGGAACGAAAUAUGCCGACCUAAUACGUCGGUAGGCUGACGUUACCCAAAUAAGAAGCACCGGCUAACUCUGUGCCAGCAGCCGCGGUAAUACAGAGGGUGCGAGCGUUAAUCGGAAUUACUGGGCGUAAAGCGAGUGUAGGCGGCUUCGUAAGUCGGAUGUGAAAGCCCUGGGCUUAACCUGGGAAUGCCAUUCGAUACUGCGCGGCUAGAGUUUGAUAGAGGAAAGUGGAAUUCCAGGUGUAGCGGUGAAAUGCGUAGAUAUCUGGAGGAACAUCAGUGGCGAAGGCGGCUUUCUGGAUCAAAACUGACGCUGAGGCUCGAAAGCGUGGGUAGCAAACAGGAUUAGAUACCCUGGUAGUCCACGCCCUAAACGAUGUCAACUAGACGUUGGCCCCAUUUAAGGGGUUAGUGUCGAAGCUAACGCGUUAAGUUGACCGCCUGGGGAGUACGGCCGCAAGGUUG
This 550-nucleotide ribosomal RNA is filed under the name uncultured bacterium. Its description in RNAcentral is "bacterial SSU rRNA". It matches the Rfam family "Bacterial small subunit ribosomal RNA", at positions 355 to 896 of the family's 1533-position model. The record is from RNAcentral.